Molecule: ribosomal RNA, 1695 nt
Filed under: Salmonella enterica
Lineage: Bacteria; Pseudomonadati; Pseudomonadota; Gammaproteobacteria; Enterobacterales; Enterobacteriaceae
Description: partial 23S ribosomal RNA
Rfam family: Bacterial large subunit ribosomal RNA
Source: RNAcentral
UAAGCCGUUGAAGGUGUCCUGUGAGGGGUGCUGGAGGUAUCAGAAGUGCGAAUGCUGACAUAAGUAACGAUAAAGCGGGUGAAAAGCCCGCUCGCCGGAAGACCAAGGGUUCCUGUCCAACGUUAAUCGGGGCAGGGUGAGUCGACCCCUAAGGCGAGGCCGAAAGGCGUAGUCGAUGGGAAACGGGUUAAUAUUCCCGUACUUGGUGUUACUGCGAAGGGGGGACGGAGAAGGCUAUGUUGGCCGGGCGACGGUUGUCCCGGUUUAAGCGUGUAGGUGUGUGUUCCAGGUAAAUCCGGUUCACUUUAACACUGAGGCGUGAUGACGAGGCACCACGGUGCUGAAGCAACAAAUGCCCUGCUUCCAGGAAAAGCCUCUAAGCAUCAGGUAACAUCAAAUCGUACCCCAAACCGACACAGGUGGUCAGGUAGAGAAUACCAAGGCGCUUGAGAGAACUCGGGUGAAGGAACUAGGCAAAAUGGUGCCGUAACUUCGGGAGAAGGCACGCUGACACGUAGGUGAAGUGAUUUACUCACGGAGCUGAAGUCAGUCGAAGAUACCAGCUGGCUGCAACUGUUUAUUAAAAACACAGCACUGUGCAAACACGAAAGUGGACGUAUACGGUGUGACGCCUGCCCGGUGCCGGAAGGUUAAUUGAUGGGGUCAGCGCAAGCGAAGCUCCUGAUCGAAGCCCCGGUAAACGGCGGCCGUAACUAUAACGGUCCUAAGGUAGCGAAAUUCCUUGUCGGGUAAGUUCCGACCUGCACGAAUGGCGUAAUGAUGGCCAGGCUGUCUCCACCCGAGACUCAGUGAAAUUGAACUCGCUGUGAAGAUGCAGUGUACCCGCGGCAAGACGGAAAGACCCCGUGAACCUUUACUAUAGCUUGACACUGAACAUUGAGCCUUGAUGUGUAGGAUAGGUGGGAGGCUUUGAAGCGUGGACGCCAGUCUGCGUGGAGCCGACCUUGAAAUACCACCCUUUAAUGUUUGAUGUUCUAACGUGGACCCGUAAUCCGGGUUGCGGACAGUGUCUGGUGGGUAGUUUGACUGGGGCGGUCUCCUCCUAAAGAGUAACGGAGGAGCACGAAGGUUGGCUAAUCCUGGUCGGACAUCAGGAGGUUAGUGCAAUGGCAUAAGCCAGCUUGACUGCGAGCGUGACGGCGCGAGCAGGUGCGAAAGCAGGUCAUAGUGAUCCGGUGGUUCUGAAUGGAAGGGCCAUCGCUCAACGGAUAAAAGGUACUCCGGGGAUAACAGGCUGAUACCGCCCAAGAGUUCAUAUCGACGGCGGUGUUUGGCACCUCGAUGUCGGCUCAUCACAUCCUGGGGCUGAAGUAGGUCCCAAGGGUAUGGCUGUUCGCCAUUUAAAGUGGUACGCGAGCUGGGUUUAGAACGUCGUGAGACAGUUCGGUCCCUAUCUGCCGUGGGCGCUGGAAGACUGAGGGGGGCUGCUCCUAGUACGAGAGGACCGGAGUGGACGCAUCACUGGUGUUCGGGUUGUCAUGCCAAUGGCACUGCCCGGUAGCUAAAUGCGGAAAAGAUAAGUGCUGAAAGCAUCUAAGCACGAAACUUGCCCCGAGAUGAGUCUUCCCUGAGACUUUGAGUCUCCUGAAGGAACGUUAAAGACGAUGACGUUGAUAGGCCGGGUGUGUAAGCGCAGCGAUGCGUUGAGCUAACCGGUACUAAUGAACCGUGAGG